RNAcentral lists this long non-coding RNA (600 nucleotides) under Nicotiana tabacum (common tobacco). Its description in RNAcentral is "long non-coding RNA (NTAB_LNC013926)". The record is from RNAcentral. Lineage: Eukaryota; Viridiplantae; Streptophyta; Magnoliopsida; Solanales; Solanaceae.
CAUUCCAACCUCCAGGGUUCCCUCCUCCAUGUCAAUAUUGUUGUUUUCCGCACCCAUAUUUUAACCUGAAAAUUAACAAACAAAGAAAAUGAAGCAACAUCCUAUGCCCGCAAGUACUGAUAAAUCACUUUACAAUUGAUCAUCAGAUCACAUCUCAUUACAUAAACAAGAAAGCAUCAAAAUGCCAAGAUGAGCAGCAGAGACGGAUACAAAAAUUCAAAUCAGCAGCAGGUGCUAAAUAUUACCACACUCACUAUUUAGUAUAGAAAAAUUUCCAACUAUACAUAAACUGUGAGCCAAAGGCCUAAAAAGCUAGGGCAGUAACAAACAGAGAUAUCAACAGUAAUAAAACAGAGCAAUUAGGAGAUACAUACAAAUAAAAUUAUUACUUAUGGGUAAAGUCAAAGGCAGUGGAUUGUGUAGAGAUGUGUCGCAGUGAGAUCGAAGGGUUGUAAAUUGCGUUAACUAAAUGGAAAGGUGAAGAAUGGAAGAUUGGAGAAUGGAUCUGUAAGAAAAAGGUAAGUACCUUUUCUGCUUCUGAAUCCAAGACAGAGCAAGAGAAUAGAGGAGAGAGAGAGAGAGAGAGAGAGAGAGAGAGAG